RNAcentral lists this ribosomal RNA (253 nucleotides) under uncultured bacterium. Its description in RNAcentral is "partial 16S ribosomal RNA". It matches the Rfam family "Bacterial small subunit ribosomal RNA", at positions 524 to 776 of the family's 1533-position model. The record is from RNAcentral.
UACGAAGGGGGCUAGCGUUGCUCGGAAUUACUGGGCGUAAAGGGCGCGUAGGCUGUCAUGUUAGUCGGGUGUGAAACCCCCGGGCUCAACCUGGGAACUGCACUCGAGACGGCAUGACUUGAGGACGAGAGAGGGUGGUGGAACUCCCAGUGUAGAGGUGAAAUUCGUAGAGAUUGGGAAGAACACCAGUGGCGAAGGCGGCCACCUGGCUCGUUCCUGACGCUGAGGCGCGAAAGAGUGGGGAGCAAACAGG